GCGAUACAGGGUGACAGCCCCGUACACAAAAAUGCACAUGCUGUGAGCUCGAUGAGUAGGGCGGGACACGUGGUAUCCUGUCUGAAUAUGGGGGGACCAUCCUCCAAGGCUAAAUACUCCUGACUGACCGAUAGUGAACCAGUACCGUGAGGGAAAGGCGAAAAGAACCCCGGCGAGGGGAGUGAAAAAGAACCUGAAACCGUGUACGUACAAGCAGUGGGAGCACGCUUAGGCGUGUGACUGCGUACCUUUUGUAUAAUGGGUCAGCGACUUAUAUUCUGUAGCAAGGUUAACCGAAUAGGGGAGCCGAAGGGAAACCGAGUCUUAACUGGGCGUUAAGUUGCAGGGUAUAGACCCGAAACCCGGUGAUCUAGCCAUGGGCAGGUUGAAGGUUGGGUAACACUAACUGGAGGACCGAACCGACUAAUGUUGAAAAAUUAGCGGAUGACUUGUGGCUGGGGGUGAAAGGCCAAUCAAACCGGGAGAUAGCUGGUUCUCCCCGAAAGCUAUUUAGGUAGCGCCUCGUGAAUUCAUCUCCGGGGGUAGAGCACUGUUUCGGCAAGGGGGUCAUCCCGACUUACCAACCCGAUGCAAACUGCGAAUACCGGAGAAUGUUAUCACGGGAGACACACGGCGGGUGCUAACGUCCGUCGUGAAGAGGGAAACAACCCAGACCGCCAGCUAAGGUCCCAAAGUCAUGGUUAAGUGGGAAACGAUGUGGGAAGGCCCAGACAGCCAGGAUGUUGGCUUAGAAGCAGCCAUCAUUUAAAGAAAGCGUAAUAGCUCACUGGUCGAGUCGGCCUGCGCGGAAGAUGUAACGGGGCUAAACCAUGCACCGAAGCUGCGGCAGCGACGCUUAUGCGUUGUUGGGUAGGGGAGCGUUCUGUAAGCCUGUGAAGGUGUGCUGUGAGGCAUGCUGGAGGUAUCAGAAGUGCGAAUGCUGACAUAAGUAACGAUAAAGCGGGUGAAAAGCCCGCUCGCCGGAAGACCAAGGGUUCCUGUCCAACGUUAAUCGGGGCAGGGUGAGUCGACCCCUAAGGCGAGGCCGAAAGGCGUAGUCGAUGGGAAACAGGUUAAUAUUCCUGUACUUGGUGUUACUGCGAAGGGGGGACGGAGAAGGCUAUGUUGGCCGGGCGACGGUUGUCCCGGUUUAAGCGUGUAGGCUGGUUUUCCAGGCAAAUCCGGAAAAUCAAGGCUGAGGCGUGAUGACGAGGCACUACGGUGCUGAAGCAACAAAUGCCCUGCUUCCAGGAAAAGCCUCUAAGCAUCAGGUAACAUCAAAUCGUACCCCAAACCGACACAGGUGGUCAGGUAGAGAAUACCAAGGCGCUUGAGAGAACUCGGGUGAAGGAACUAGGCAAAAUGGUGCCGUAACUUCGGGAGAAGGCACGCUGAUAUGUAGGUGAAGUCCCUCGCGGAUGGAGCUGAAAUCAGUCGAAGAUACCAGCUGGCUGCAACUGUUUAUUAAAAACACAGCACUGUGCAAACACGAAAGUGGACGUAUACGGUGUGACGCCUGCCCGGUGCCGGAAGGUUAAUUGAUGGGGUUAGCGCAAGCGAAGCUCUUGAUCGAAGCCCCGGUAAACGGCGGCCGUAACUAUAACGGUCCUAAGGUAGCGAAAUUCCUUGUCGGGUAAGUUCCGACCUGCACGAAUGGCGUAAUGAUGGCCAGGCUGUCUCCACCCGAGACUCAGUGAAAUUGAACUCGCUGUGAAGAUGCAGUGUACCCGCGGCAAGACGGAAAGACCCCGUGAACCUUUACUAUAGCUUGACACUGAACAUUGAGCCUUGAUGUGUAGGAUAGGUGGGAGGCUUUGAAGUGUGGACGCCAGUCUGCAUGGAGCCGACCUUGAAAUACCACCCUUUAAUGUUUGAUGUUCUAACGUUGACCCGUAAUCCGGGUUGCGGACAGUGUCUGGUGGGUAGUUUGACUGGGGCGGUCUCCUCCUAAAGAGUAACGGAGGAGCACGAAGGUUGGCUAAUCCUGGUCGGACAUCAGGAGGUUAGUGCAAUGGCAUAAGCCAGCUUGACUGCGAGCGUGACGGCGCGAGCAGGUGCGAAAGCAGGUCAUAGUGAUCCGGUGGUUCUGAAUGGAAGGGCCAUCGCUCAACGGAUAAAAGGUACUCCGGGGAUAACAGGCUGAUACCGCCCAAGAGUUCAUAUCGACGGCGGUGUUUGGCACCUCGAUGUCGGCUCAUCACAUCCUGGGGCUGAAGUAGGUCCCAAGGGUAUGGCUGUUCGCCAUUUAAAGUGGUACGCGAGCUGGGUUUAGAACGUCGUGAGACAGUUCGGUCCCUAUCUGCCGUGGGCGCUGGAGAACUGAGGGGGGCUGCUCCUAGUACGAGAGGACCGGAGUGGACGCAUCACUGGUGUUCGGGUUGUCAUGCCAAUGGCACUGCCCGGUAGCUAAAUGCGGAAGAGAUAAGUGCUGAAAGCAUCUAAGCACGAAACUUGCCCCGAGAUGAGUUCUCCCUGACUCCUUGAGAGUCCUGAAGGAACGUUGAAGACGACGACGUUGAUAGGCCGGGUGUGUAAGCGCAGCGAUGCGUUGAGCUAACCGGUACUAAUGAACCGUGAGGCUUAACCU
RNAcentral lists this ribosomal RNA (2587 nucleotides) under Escherichia coli 3-073-06_S4_C3. Its description in RNAcentral is "bacterial LSU rRNA". It matches the Rfam family "Bacterial large subunit ribosomal RNA", at positions 354 to 2925 of the family's 2925-position model. Lineage: Bacteria; Pseudomonadati; Pseudomonadota; Gammaproteobacteria; Enterobacterales; Enterobacteriaceae. The record is from RNAcentral.